This 1107-nucleotide ribosomal RNA is filed under the name uncultured organism. RNAcentral's name for it is "bacterial SSU rRNA". It matches the Rfam family "Bacterial small subunit ribosomal RNA", at positions 305 to 1439 of the family's 1533-position model. The record is from RNAcentral.
CCCCCACACGGGGCACUGAGACACGGGCCCGACUCCUACGGGAGGCAGCAGUAAGGGAUAUUGCGACAAUGGGCGAAAGCCUGACGCAACAACGCCGCGUGGAGGAUGAAGGCCUUCGGGUUUGUAAAACUCCUUUUCUGUGGGAAGAGGAAGGACGGUACCACAGGAAGAAGUCUCGGCUAACUACGUGCCCAGCAGCCGCGGUAAAACGUAGGAGGCGAGCGUUAUCCGGAUUUACUGGGUGUAAAGCGCGUGCAGGCGGUCUGGUAAGUCGAGCGUGAAAGCUCCCGGCUCAACCGGGAGAGGACGUGCGAAACUGCGAGGCUAGAGACAGGUAGAGGCGUACGGAAUUCCGGGUGUAGUGGUGAAAUGCGUAGAUAUCCGGAGGAACACCAGUGGCGAAGGCGGUACGCUGGGCCUGGUCUGACGCUAAGACGCGAAAGCAUGGGGAGCGAACGGGAUUAGAAACCCCGGUAGUCCAUGCCGUAAACGAUGCUAACUAGGUGUUGCGGGUAAAAGACCGGCAGUGCCGGAGUUAACGCGAUAAGUUAGCCACCUGGGGACUACGGUCGCAAGGCUAAAACUCAAAGGAAUUGACGGGGGCCCGCACAAGCAGCGGAGCGUGUGGUUUAAUUCGAGGCUACACGAAGAACCUUACCUGGGCUUGACAUGACGGUGGUAGGGAACCGAAAGGGGACCGACCUUCGGGAGCCGUCACAGGUGCUGCAUGGCUGUCGUCAGCUCGUGUCGUGAGAUGUUCGGUUAAGUCCGGUAACGAGCGCAACCCUCAUCGCUAGUUACAAGUGUCUAGCGAGACUGCCCGUUCAACGCGGGAGGAAGGCGGGGAUGACGUCAAGUCAGCAUGGCCUUUAUGUCCAGGGCUACACACACGCUACAAUGGCCGGUACAAUGGGUCGCCAACCCGCGAGGGGGAGCCAAUCCACCAAAGCCGGUCACAGUUCGAAUUGCAGGCUGCAACCCGCCUGCAUGAAGUCGGAGUUGCUAGUAACCGCAGGUCAGCUAUACUGCGGUGAUACGUUCCCGGGCCUUGUACACACCGCCCGUCACGUCAUGGGAGCUGGUCAUGCCUGAAGUCGGUGAGCCAAC